RNAcentral lists this ribosomal RNA (676 nucleotides) under Escherichia coli. RNAcentral describes it as "partial 23S ribosomal RNA". It matches the Rfam family "Bacterial large subunit ribosomal RNA", at positions 514 to 1191 of the family's 2925-position model. Lineage: Bacteria; Pseudomonadati; Pseudomonadota; Gammaproteobacteria; Enterobacterales; Enterobacteriaceae. The record is from RNAcentral.
GCGAAAAGAACCCCGGCGAGGGGAGUGAAAAAGAACCUGAAACCGUGUACGUACAAGCAGUGGGAGCACGCUUAGGCGUGUGACUGCGUACCUUUUGUAUAAUGGGUCAGCGACUUAUAUUCUGUAGCAAGGUUAACCGAAUAGGGGAGCCGAAGGGAAACCGAGUCUUAACUGGGCGUUAAGUUGCAGGGUAUAGACCCGAAACCCGGUGAUCUAGCCAUGGGCAGGUUGAAGGUUGGGUAACACUAACUGGAGGACCGAACCGACUAAUGUUGAAAAAUUAGCGGAUGACUUGUGGCUGGGGGUGAAAGGCCAAUCAAACCGGGAGAUAGCUGGUUCUCCCCGAAAGCUAUUUAGGUAGCGCCUCGUGAAUUCAUCUCCGGGGGUAGAGCACUGUUUCGGCAAGGGGGUCAUCCCGACUUACCAACCCGAUGCAAACUGCGAAUACCGGAGAAUGUUAUCACGGGAGACACACGGCGGGUGCUAACGUCCGUCGUGAAGAGGGAAACAACCCAGACCGCCAGCUAAGGUCCCAAAGUCAUGGUUAAGUGGGAAACGAUGUGGGAAGGCCCAGACAGCCAGGAUGUUGGCUUAGAAGCAGCCAUCAUUUAAAGAAAGCGUAAUAGCUCACUGGUCGAGUCGGCCUGCGCGGAAGAUGUAACGGGGCUAAACCAUG